CCGUGAGGGAAAGAUGAAAAGCACUUUGGAAAGAGAGUUAAACAGUACGUGAAAUUGUUGAAAGGGAAACGAUUGAAGUCAGUCGUGUCCGAGGGGUUCAGCCGGUCCCGCCGGUGCAUUCCUCUCGGACGGGUCAACAUCGGUUUUGACCGGCGGAGAAGGGCGUUAGGAAGGUGGCACCCUCGGGUGUGUUAUAGCCUCUCGUCGCACACGUCGGUCGAGACCGAGGAACGCAGCUCGCCCUCACGGGCCGGGGUUCUCCCACGUACGAGCUUAGG
RNAcentral lists this ribosomal RNA (278 nucleotides) under Tremella fibulifera. RNAcentral's name for it is "partial large subunit ribosomal RNA". It matches the Rfam family "Eukaryotic large subunit ribosomal RNA", at positions 351 to 621 of the family's 3401-position model. Lineage: Eukaryota; Fungi; Basidiomycota; Tremellomycetes; Tremellales; Tremellaceae. The record is from RNAcentral.